Molecule: long non-coding RNA, 8378 nt
Filed under: Marmota monax (woodchuck)
Lineage: Eukaryota; Metazoa; Chordata; Mammalia; Rodentia; Sciuridae
Source: RNAcentral
AACAUUCAGCCUUUGAUUUGAAAUAGCUGCAGAGUCCUGCGCUUUCCUUGCCGGCUUGGCGGCUUGGCGGCUGAGUGGCCCACCAGCCAGUAGGGGGCGCACUGUCCGCCGUGGUCCCUCCAAUUGCCCGCUUCCGCUAACGGAAGCCUGGAGAGCUGGAUCCUGCGGGAUGGCAGUGCGCUCAGGUCCUGCUCUGGUCGCUACCUGCGCUGCCCGGGGCACUGCAUCCACUCGCCCGGCCUCACGCUCCGCCCUUCGCCGGCAGGUGUGCAAAGCCUGACCGGCCGAGGCUGCCAUUUCCGCGGCCUGCGACCCGCCGCCCGCGGCAGCUCGAAGCUGGUGGCUGAACCAGAACUUCGGGCGCCUCUUUCCCGCUAGGACGCUGCCUGCACCGCGUGCCAGGGCGGCGGGCAGGUGUCCUCCGGGAGGAGCCUCUGGGACCCGCGGCGGGCAGGGAUGGCGUGCAGCAACCCGUGUCUUUCUUACCUUUGUCCCUGUGGUGUCCGCUGAUGGGGACUGGGUGCCGCGGCCCACCCAGGCCGGCCUGCCGCCCGGAGCGCCCUGGAGCUGGGUAGGAGCGGCGGUUGAGCGCGUGAGUGGAUCUGCACCCACCUGUCCGCUGGCGCGGGGUGGGGGCCAGGUGAGUGGUCAGUGAGCAUGCGUGGGCUUCAGGUGGUGCGGAGGGAACACCGCGGACUGUGCCAGUUGUGCCUCCAGGCAGGAGCACCAAAGUAUGAACAACAGGCCUUGCUUGGGUGCCUUGAGGUUGAUUUCUGUCUGUGUCAGGUCCCUGCUUUGGAAGCUUUCCCUAAGGAUGACCACUCACUCUGAAAGCUCCUUUUUCCACUUCUUCCUUUUGUACUUAGGCAAACACUUUGUCAUAUGCCAUGCUCUGUGAUUUGUGUUUCUAAGUUUGAUUAUUCACUUUCUAUAGAUCAAUUAUGAAUCUCUCCAAUUAGGACUUUAAUAUUUGUUUUUCUCAAAACUCUGUUUUUGACCUACAAGCAACUAAAAACUUAGCAUUUAAUGCAUACCUUUUUCUUCAUUAAUUCAGCUAAGAAAUAUGUAUGGAACACCCACUGUGUGCAUUGUGCUGGGCACUAUACUAGACACCCUCCAUGCAUAUUUGAUUAAGGCAUAGGCCUUUGCAUCACAUGUCCUUUCAAUUUGGUGGAAAAGUGAAGAGAAUCAAUUGCUCAUUAUCUUUCUUGCUUGGCAUAAUGUCAGUCAAUACUCUCAAAUCUCACUUUUGUUCAAGGAUUCUGAUUCUUGCAAGAAUAUUUUGUGAUCUGAUAAAAUUCAAAGGAUUAUAUGGCUGAAGCUGACAGAAAGCUACAACAAGAGGGUGCCUAAGUCCUUGGGACACCUAAAGAGGAAGUUCUCAGAUCUUCACCAUAGCCAGCAGGAGGUCAUUCAAAGCAAUAAUAUGUCUGGGCCCAAGGCAACCAGAGCUCCCAGUCUGAAUUCUCUCCUAGCCCAAUUCAUCUCCCAGCUUGAACCUUGACCACAAAUAUGGAGUGUGAUAGGACAUGGUUUAGAUACUGGCUGGACUCUGCCUCACUCACAGUCAGCAGAGGGAGUCAGCACCCGCCAUUCAAAACCUGGGGCAGUGGAACUAGAACAGUAUGAACUGGCUGAGUUCCAUUCUCCAGGAGUAAUGACAGUAACCUCAAUGAGUUGCACAGGCCAGGGGAACAUUUGUGCAACAAAGAUCACAUGCAGAGAAUCUGCAACCCCAGGACUUGUGCUUAUUGAAGCCACCAGAAUCUAUACCACCAAGAAAAGGACACUGUAGAGGGGACUCUCCACAAUCUCAGCCACAGCCCAGAGCCUUCAUCCAGAACUUCUUCACACAAUAGAAACACACAACAGACACAAUACCACACCCUCCAAGCACUUAGCCACAGGCCCCUGAGCUGACAAACCAGAACCAACCAGUUGAUGGAAGGUCCAUUGCAACUAGGAGAGUGGCUCCUGUGUCCCAGCAUCUCUGGAAAGAUUCAAGGGCAAAGAAUGACAGACACCUUCAAAAUGCCCCAAAUCGUAAUGAAACUCAUCUUGGCAUGGUUUUCUAUAAGUAACUUUAAUGUCAACCUUAAUGAUAUAUAAAACUCUAUCUUGACUGCUAGUUCUUACCCUAAUAGCCAACAUUGUACCUUCAACCCACAUAAAUACUUUUUCCUAACAGUUUAAAAUAUCAUUUGGGGGCUGGGGAUGUGGCUCAAGCGGUAGCGCGCUCGCCAGGAAUGCGUGCGGCCCGGGUUCGAUCCUCAGCACCACAUACAAACAAAGAUGUUGUGUCCACCGAAAACUGAAAAAUAAAUAUUGAAAUUCUCUCUCUCUCUCUCCUUAAAAAAAAAUAAAAAUAAAAAAAAAAUUUAACAAAUAUAUCAUUUGGAAUCAUUCUUCCUAUCCCUAGUUUACACUUGUUCCUCUUAUCCCCUAUUCUUCCUUUCACACUGUCUACCACUACCUCAACUAGGAUCCACAUUUUUUACCUUUUUAAUUCAGUCUUAGCAUUCUAUUCUUUUUCUCACUCUUUUGCCCAAUCUUCUUCCCCUUUUCAGCCUUAAUAUAAUAUUAUAGCAGUUUUACUCUAUUCGUAACUAAUUCUUCAGCCUGUUCCAGUUAUAAACUUAUGAAAAGUUUAUACUAAAUUAGAGCAAUUGUGUAGAACAAUAUCAACAAGUUUUUCACUUUUCAUAAGGUUGUAUAUGUGCUUUGACUCUGAAGUCAUUAUAGAAAAUAGGCUUCAGUGACAUCUCUCAAAGUGGAUCUGAUCCUGGAAUCAAUAGAGGCCACACAUUGAGCUAAACUAUUAAUACCUGGAUAUUCUUCCAACACCAGGGCUUAUAAAACAAUAAAGCUAACAAAGUAGGCAUUUGCUUAUAAAAAGAAGCAAUAACCAUCCUAUUAUAUGGGGAGAUAUACAAGCAAUAUGAAAAAGCAAGAGAACAAACCACCUCACAACUCAGAACACUUCAACAACUGACCCCAUUAACACCACAGAGGAAGAUAUGUCAAAAAAUAAUUUAGAAAGUUCACAGUUAAAAUGUUCAUGAGAUAAAAGAGUGAAAGAGAAAAUAAAUAGGAAGUAAAGAUCACUUCAAUAAAGAAAUGAAGAUUCUGUAAGAGAACCAAAUGGAAAUCCUGGAAAUAAAAAUCUACUAAAUCCAAUUGAAAAUUCAGUGGAAAAAAGAAUCACCAAUAGAUUAGGCCAUUUUGAAAAUAGAUUUUCAGUCCUUGAAGACAAAGAACAUAACCUCAAAAAUAAAACUGACCAUAAGGAAGAAAUGUUAAGAGACCAUAACCAGAAUAUGCUGGGAAAACAUCAAGAUAUUAAAUUUACGAAACACUGGGGUAGAUGAAAGUUCUGAAAUACAAACUAAAAGUAUGCACAAUCUUUUCAAUGAAAUAUUAGAAAAUUUUCCAAACAUUAAGAAUAAGAAGGACAUUCAAAUAUAAGAGGCAUAUAGGACACCAAAUAUACAAAAUCACAAUAGAUCCACUCCAACAAAUUAUUAUGAAAAUGUCUAACAUAGAGAAUAAGGAUAGCAUUUUAAAAUUUUCAAGAGAUAAAUAGAUUGUCACAUUUACAGGAAAACCAAUUCAAAUUUCAACUGAUUUCUCCACCCAAAACUAAAAGGCAGAGGGCAUGCAAUAAUAUAUACCACACUCUGAAAGAAAAUCAGUUUUAACCAGGAUUACUAUAUCCAGAAAAAUUAAGUUUCAGAAUUGAAGAUGAAAUAAAAACCUUCCAUGACAAACAGAAGCUAAAAGAAUUCAGAAUCACAAAACCUAUAUUACAAAACAUACUCAAUUAAAUAUUUCAUGAAGAAGAAAUGAAAAAUAAAAAUGAAAACCAGCAUAGGGAUGCAUUACAGUAGAAGGAGAGUCCAUUAAAGGAGCAUCAAGUCCAAUUUAAACAUUAAAAAUACAUCAAAAUGGCACUGAAAUAAAGUAUGUCACUCUAUAAUAACAUUGAAUGUGAAUGGACUCUUCAAUCAAAAGAUAUAGGUUGGAGGGGGUUAUGAUGCCAGAGUAGAGAAGGUUGCUUUCCUAGCUGCUCCGUGGAAUGAAACCAAGAAAGCAGACAGGCAGCUUCUCAUCAAGGAGGCCUGAGGCGUGUCUGGGUAUGGAGAGUUAGAGAUCAAAGACACUGCCCGUCUAAACUGAAAGGCAUGCUGCAAAAUAUUCUUUUGCAGGGAAGGUGAGGAGAGGACAGAGGAAAGAACCAUAUUGCAGCUGUGGUAUGGGGGCUGGCAGAUCCCUGGGGAGCAGAUCCCUGGCAAACCCAAGUUUGGCCUGAAAUACAGACCUGGCAAACCCACACAGCACAAUAUAGAGUGUUCCUAAGUGACCAGGAGAAAAACAAACCUGGAGAGAGGAUUACACAGGGUUAACACAGAGGCUUACACUGGUCAUGGAAACCCACCUGGCUCUCACCCUUCCCCUCCAAAGCUUGCAGGACCAGCUGGGAGAGGAAUUCAAAAGGGUGGGGGGCAGGCAAGAUUGAGUUUGGAGACUGAACCAGAGAUCAGGAAAGGUGGAGUCCACAGGUGAUGUAGUGGACUAUGAAUUGACUCCUCCAACCUAUGAGUAGAACCCAGGGGAAGUCCCUGGUGUACAGUCUUCCAUCAGGGACCCCGGCAACUGCUGGGCCAUCUCCAGAACAACUGGCAUUCAGCAAAGAGCCCAUCAAAGCCUAAACCCCAUUUCCAGGAAUUCUGCCGAAGAGAUUACCUCACUCACUCCAGCAUCUGGAGGGUGGAGCAUCAUGCUCCAGCUGACCCCAUCUAAUUAUGCUGAGAAGAUGAACAUCUUUUGAAAUCCAAUGAAAACAAUUUUUUAACUUUUCAUAAAACUUUUUUUCUCACUUUUUUUUUUCUUUUCUCUGUUUAAUUGUGACCUUAAUGAUUCAUGGACAUUUAUACACACUCAUAUUUGGGGGGUUUUCCCCCUCAUUUCUAGCAUUUUUGAAGCCAGUUAUUUUUCAUGGAUUACUUUUUGAUGUUUGAUUGAUAUCUUUCCGUUUUGUUUUGUGUUCUUUUAUUUUUAAUAUUUUUUUAAAAAUUUUACUUUAUAUGUAUAUUUUUCCUCUCACCCUUCUGUAUUGCUUAAUUCUAUUUCUCUCUUUUCUUCAAAUAAGAGCCAAUCUCUAUUGUUCUCUCUUUCACUCUUCAAUUUUUUGCUUCUAUCUGCUUUUAUCUUCUCUCAUAAGCAGCACUUCUAUUCUCUCCCUGUUCAUCAUCCAAAAUUGUAAACUCUUUUGUCAACUUACCAUUUUUAUUGUAGGCAAUAACUUAUGUCAAUUCUGUUUAUUGUGACAAUUAGCAUUGUAGUUGUCACAGCAGGAACUAUUUGGUUUAAUGCUGUAUAUUGAUUGUAAUGAUUGUUGUUAUUAUUUGUCUCCCCCAAAAUUGUGAGAUACUGGAAACAGGGAAACUAUAAAUCUAGAUGGUAGAAGCUCUUCUGCCUCAGAUCCAUACUGGUAGAAGGUAGACACACUAACAACAUGAAAAAGCAAGGUAACAAAUUGCCCCAAACAAAACAAGAUACUCAAAUAACAGAAUCCAUCAACACCACAGUGGAAGAAAUGUCAGAGAAGAAGUUCAAAAUGUACAUAUUUAAACUGAUCUUCAAGGUAAAGAACAAUAUAAAGAGUAAAAUCAGACAGAAAUAUAGAGUAAGUGAAAGAUCACUUCAAGAGACAGAGAUUCUGAAAAGAAAUCAGGCAGGAAUCCUCAAAAUAUAGGAAUCAAUAAAUAAAAAUUCAAUUAAAAGCAUCAACAACAGACUAGGUCACUUGCAAGACAGUUUUAGGCAAUGAAGACAAAAUAUAUAAUCUUGAGAACAAAGUUGACCAUGGAAAAAAGAUGCUAAGAGACCAUGAACAGAACUUCUAAGAAAUAUGGGACAACAUGAAAAAACAAAUUUAAGAUUUACUGGGAUAAGUGAAGGUGCAGAGAUAUAAACCAAAUAAAUACAUAUUUUUUUCAAUGAAAUAAUAUCAGAAAAUUUCACAAACCUGAAGAAUAAAAUGGAAAAUCAAAUACAGAAGGCUUACAUGACCCCAAAACCACAAAAUUAUAACAGACACACAUCAAGGCACAUUAUUAUGAAAAUGCCUACCAUAGAGAAAAAGGAUCAAAUUUUAAAGGUUACCAGAAAAUAAUUACAGAUAAUAGUCAUAGGGAAAUCAAUCUGGAUCUGAGCUGAUUUCUCAACCCACACCCUCAAAGCUAGGAGGUCUUGGGAUAACAUAUACCAAGCUCUGAAAGAAAAUGGAUGCCAGCCAGGAAUACUGUGCCCAGCAAAUUUAAGCUACAGAAUUGAUGAUGAAAAAAAAAAAAAACUUUCAUGAAUAAAAAAAGUUUAAAAAAAAUCACAACUAGAAAGCCUGCACUACAAAAGAUACUCAGUGAAAUAUUUCAUAAAGAAGGAAUGAUAAAUAAAAGUGAAAAACAGCAAAGGGAGAAACUAUACUAGAAGAAUAGCCAAUCAGUUUUAAUUCAAAUUAAAACCAUAAAUAAAUCAAAAUGACAGGGAAUAAAAAUAAUUUCUCAAUAAUAACACUGAAUAUAAAUGGCCUAAACUCAUCAAUCAAAAGACAUAGAAUAGCAGAUUGGAUUAAGAACAGCCCAACAAUAUGCUGUCUUCAAGAGACUCACCUCAUAGGCAAACACAUCCACAGACUGAAGGUAAAAGGAUGGGGGAAAAAAAUACAUCAUUAACACGGAUUUUGUAAACAAGCAGAGGUUUCUAUCUUCAUAUCAGAUAAACUGGACUUCAAAUCAAAGAUAAUCAUAAGGGACAAAGAAGGACAUUCAUACUGCUUAAGGGAAUUAUAUAUCAAUAAGACAUAACAAUAAUAAAUAUUUAUGCUCCAAACAAUGGAGCAUCUACAUACAUCAAACAAAUCCUCAAUUUCAAGAAUCAAAUAGACCACAACUCAAUAAUAGUGGGUGACUUUAACACACCUCUAUCACCACUGUAUAGAUUCUCCAAUCAAUCAAAAACUAAAUAAAGAUGCUAUUGAACUAAAAAAUACAAUUGAUAAUUUGAACUUAACAGACAUAUAUAGAAUAUUUCACCCAUAAAUGACUGAAUACACUUUCUUCUCAGCAACACAUGGAUCCUUCUCUAAAAUAGACCAUAUAUUAGGCCACAAAGAAAAUCUUAGCAAAUAUAAGAAAAUAGAGAUAAUACCUUGAAUUCUAUCAGAUCAUAAUGGAAUGAAAUUAGAAAUCCAUGAUAAAAUAAAAAAUAUAAGCUACUCUAACACCUUGAGACUAAAUAAUAUACUAUUGAAUGAUGAAUGGAUAGCAGAAGAAAUCGGGAAUGAAAUAACUAAAAUACUUAGAGGUAAAUGAGAACAGUAAUACAACAUAUCAAAAUUGCUGAGACACUAUGAAGACAGGUAUAACAGGAAAGUUCAUUGCAUUGAGCUCAUUCACUGAAACAAUAGAAAGUCACCAAAAAAUAACCUAACAUUACAUCUCAAAGCCCAAGAAAAUGAAGAACAAAUCAACAUCAAAAGCAGUAGAAGGAAGUUCUGGAGGGAGAGCCCGCCCAUCCCACGCCACUGUGUCCCGAAGUCUGGAACAGAGCCACUCCACGCUGGGGUUCCUUAUUCUAAAGCAUGGCUCCACAGCCCAACAUCAAGGUACAUAUAGGCUUGAGGCUGCCACCACCACAAAACUGGAAUAGCAUCACUUCUAGCAAGGAACAAUAAUAAGGACCUGGUAAGACAUCAUCAAGGUCCCUGUGGGCCUGGAUGCACCAGAAGUUUCCCUACUAGGGGUGCUAACAGAAAUCCUGUUGCUGAGGUAACAGAGUCUUGCAUGGGGUUAUCUGCAAAUUUGUGUAAUCCAAAAAAAUUAAAUGGUCUUUGGGCAUUAUCAACCAUCAGCCCUGAGGAGCCAAAAAGAUUAUGAUAAAUUUCCCCUUUACCAUAUGUUACAUUUAAAUAAUUAUUUAAAUCUUUUCCUCUGCAAUUCCAACCUCUCCCAAAGUGAUUCAAAGAAGGAGUUUCAUUUGUUAUGAAGCAUUUUUUAAAAUCUCUAAACAAUAAAAUUAAGACAUUAAUUUAACUUCAUAAGACUUUUCCCUUAAAUGUAUAUAUAUAUCUCACAUAUAUUCACUUAAAGUCAUCAGAGUAGGGGAUUAUUACUUUCUCUAUGAACUUUAACCUCAGUGUGCACCAUUUCUAAUCUAAAAUUUUCUCCAUUCUAUUUAGAUUGGCCCAAACUCCCUAGCUAAAAAUUAACAAGAAGUUAUAUCCAAACGUGCCAAUGGUCCACACGCAGCCAUCCGUGAAAUUAUUGAUUUGGAUGAAAAACACAACUGGACCUAAAGGAAUUUUUUUUAAAUUUAUN